Molecule: unclassified non-coding RNA, 374 nt
Filed under: fungal sp.
Lineage: Eukaryota; Fungi
Description: partial internal transcribed spacer region
Rfam family: Eukaryotic small subunit ribosomal RNA (bases 1-46)
Source: RNAcentral
AAGUCGUAACAAGGUCUCCGUAGGUGAACCUGCGGAGGGACCAUUAACACGUAUCCACGUAUCAAACCAAACCGCGCACUAGGAACAGAAGAAACCUCCCUGCGAGGAAGUAUGAUGUUCCAAUCUGACUUGGAAAAGAAAUGCUGUCAGUUAGCAUCGUGUAGUGGGUCCUUCGGGACGAUGCUCUUUGACUGGAGGGAAAAGCUCAAGGCAUAGUAUUUUCCAAGUAUAAAAAUUUUCUACCUCUACGGGAAGCCAACCUAUUUCACCCCCAUAUAACCACUUGACUGAUGACGCUCGUGCGGAGAAAUCCGAUUCGAGUUUUCGAUAUUCGAACUAAAGCACAACUCUUAGCAACGGAUAUCUUGGUUCUC